This 88-nucleotide transfer RNA is filed under the name Priestia megaterium. Its description in RNAcentral is "Bacillus megaterium tRNA-Leu". It matches the Rfam family "tRNA". From Rfam's summary of the family: Transfer RNA (tRNA) molecules are approximately 80 nucleotides in length. Their secondary structure includes four short double-helical elements and three loops (D, anti-codon, and T loops). Further hydrogen bonds mediate the characteristic L-shaped molecular structure. tRNAs have two regions of fundamental functional importance: the anti-codon, which is responsible for specific mRNA codon recognition, and the 3' end, to which the tRNAs corresponding amino acid is attached (by aminoacyl-tRNA synthetases). tRNAs cope with the degeneracy of the genetic code in two manners: having more than one tRNA (with a specific anti-codon) for a particular amino acid; and 'wobble' base-pairing, i.e. permitting non-standard base-pairing at the 3rd anti-codon position. The record is from RNAcentral. Lineage: Bacteria; Bacillati; Bacillota; Bacilli; Caryophanales; Bacillaceae.
GCCGGUAUGGUGGAAUGGCAGACACGCUAGACUUAGAAUCUAGUACUGAAUAAUAGUAGGUGUGCAAGUUCAAGUCUUGCUACCGGCA